UCCUAUUUUUGUGGUAUGUUUAUUGGUUUUCUGAUUACUAAACAUAAUUUCUAUAUACGUAUGUUUUUUUUUGUUUUGACUGAUAGGAAAUACCAUAUGACUUUGCUACAUUAAUGUGGGGAGAACAACCACCGUACAGUGACUUAAGAUUGUUAAUGGUAAUAACUUAUGGGUUGUAAGAUUAAAAAGAACUAGUUUGGGCCCUGUGCUUGGUGACGGCUUCAAACUGGUACGGAAAUUCAAUUCAAGAAGGUUGAAUUAGUUGUUUUGGAUGACUCAAUUGAUGGUGAUGAUGGAUAUGAUUUGCUGAUUGCGUCGGGACAUUAGCAGAAGCUGAGAACUAACAAAACUGAUGUUGACGAAGGUGUUGUUGGGGAUGGUGAAAAUGACUAUAUGCAGAUUUCAACUUUUGAGUCUAUCCUGAAUUAUUUUUCAUCUCUGCUUGAAAUGGAAGAAGUUAAAAAGAAGGUUGAUCCUAAAGGGAAGGCAAAUGUUGUUGGUGAUGAAAGGCUUCCUUCAAAGGUUUGUUUUGAAUAAGUAAAUUGUAGUUUUAUGAAAUUAAUUGAAUUAGUUUACCAUCUUUUAUGUUUACUUUAAUUUGUUUCAUGUGAAGAGCAAGUUUGA
Molecule: long non-coding RNA, 624 nt
Organism: Helianthus annuus (common sunflower)
Lineage: Eukaryota; Viridiplantae; Streptophyta; Magnoliopsida; Asterales; Asteraceae
Exons: 4
Source: RefSeq, a predicted model, not a curated record